CCCGCCGGCGACCGGCGCACGGGUGAGUAACACGUAUGCAACCUGGCCGCCACAGGGGGAUAACCCGCGGAAACGCGGCCUAAUACCCCGUGACGCCACCGGAGGGCAUCCUCCGGUGGCCAAAGGAGCGAUCCGGUGGCGGAUGGGCAUGCGGCGCAUUAGCUAGACGGCGGGGUGACGGCCCACCGUGGCGACGAUGCGUAGGGGUUCUGAGAGGAAGGCCCCCCACACUGGGACUGUGACACGGCCCAGACUCCUACGGGAGGCAGCAG
This 272-nucleotide ribosomal RNA is filed under the name uncultured bacterium. Its description in RNAcentral is "partial 16S ribosomal RNA". It matches the Rfam family "Bacterial small subunit ribosomal RNA", at positions 84 to 354 of the family's 1533-position model. The record is from RNAcentral.